AAUAAUUCAAGUCCGUACAGGAUCGGACUUGAGUAAUAAUUUUUGAGCCCAUAUUAUGACAAACGCUUUUUGCUUCGAUCCUAAAUUAUUUAAAGCUCGUCAAAAUCGAUCAGUUUAAUAUCGAAUAGCCUAUUUUAAAAAACAGCUCUAAAUCUAAGUGAGGCUAAUAAUGAGAGGUGCUAUCUCCAAUCCUCUACAACUACACAUUAAUCAUGUCCUCUUUUAGUAAAUUACUAAUACCAAAACUUCAUAACAGAUAGAAAAAAUAUAUUGAAGGUAAGAUAGAUAGAAAAGAUCAAGAGAGCUUGAAGAAAAUG
This 317-nucleotide long non-coding RNA is filed under the name Lathyrus oleraceus (garden pea). RNAcentral describes it as "Pisum sativum (pea) long non-coding RNA (PSAT_LNC023610)". The record is from RNAcentral. Lineage: Eukaryota; Viridiplantae; Streptophyta; Magnoliopsida; Fabales; Fabaceae.